Molecule: long non-coding RNA, 352 nt
Filed under: Elaeis guineensis (African oil palm)
Lineage: Eukaryota; Viridiplantae; Streptophyta; Magnoliopsida; Arecales; Arecaceae
Description: long non-coding RNA (EGUI_LNC039668)
Source: RNAcentral
AAUUUGGUGGACUCACGACACUCGUGGCACACCAAUCUCACUUCUCGAACCCUAGGUAGAAACCCUAGGGUACACACCAAAAACCCUGCGCCCAAUUCUCUUUCUUUUCUUUCUUUUUCUCUCGGAAGGUUUUGGACCUUCACCUAGCGCAGAAGCCUUCCUCACACCCCAAAGUUUCUCUCCUAAAAUUUCUACGCACAUCCCAUCUUUCUCUUCUUUUUAAAACAACGUCGAACGUGUCUUAUCUGCGUGAGAGGAUAAAGACAAGAGGUUACACAUUUGAAUUCAAAUCAAAUUUGAAUUCAAACGAAAACCAACUUAUCCCUAUCCUUUUUGGGCGUGAGAAGAGAAG